AAAAAGUGAGUGGUUUUAGUGAGUGUGAGUGUGUGAGUUUGAGUGUUUUAUUCACUCAAAUACACUCACACACACGCUUUUUGCGGUCGAGUAGAAGGGGAGCGAUGGGAGGAAAAGAGGAGGAG
Caenorhabditis elegans is the source of this 125-nucleotide non-coding RNA. The record is from Ensembl. NCBI's taxonomy places the organism in Eukaryota, Metazoa, Nematoda, Chromadorea, Rhabditida, Rhabditidae.